This 73-nucleotide transfer RNA is filed under the name Chloroflexota bacterium. RNAcentral describes it as "Chloroflexi bacterium tRNA-Trp". It matches the Rfam family "tRNA". From Rfam's summary of the family: Transfer RNA (tRNA) molecules are approximately 80 nucleotides in length. Their secondary structure includes four short double-helical elements and three loops (D, anti-codon, and T loops). The record is from RNAcentral. Lineage: Bacteria; Bacillati; Chloroflexota.
GGGUCGGUAGUUCAAUUGGAAGAGCGUCGGUUUCCAAAGCCGAAAGUUGAGGGUUCGAAUCCUUCCCAGCCCG